This 434-nucleotide ribosomal RNA is filed under the name uncultured Lachnospiraceae bacterium. Its description in RNAcentral is "partial 16S ribosomal RNA". It matches the Rfam family "Bacterial small subunit ribosomal RNA", at positions 341 to 792 of the family's 1533-position model. Lineage: Bacteria; Bacillati; Bacillota; Clostridia; Lachnospirales; Lachnospiraceae. The record is from RNAcentral.
ACGGAAGGCAGCAGUGGGGGAUAUUGCACAAUGGGGGAAACCCUGAUGCAGCGACGCCGCGUGAGUGAUGAAGUAUUUCGGUAUGUAAAGCUCUAUCAGCAGGGAAGAAAAUGACGGUACCUGACUAAGAAGCCCCGGCUAACUACGUGCCAGCAGCCGCGGUAAUACGUAGGGGGCAAGCGUUAUCCGGAUUUACUGGGUGUAAAGGGAGCGUAGACGGCGUGGUAAGUCUGAUGUGAAAGCUAUGGGCUCAACCCAUAAACUGCAUUGGAAACUAUCAUGCUAGAGUGUCGGAGAGGUAAGCGGAAUUCCUAGUGUAGCGGUGAAAUGCGUAGAUAUUAGGAGGAACACCAGUGGCGAAGGCGGCUUACUGGACGAUAACUGACGUUGAGGCUCGAAAGCGUGGGGAGCAAACAGGAUUAGAUACCCUGGUA